UGAUGGUAUCAAUCUCAAGGUGCCGCCCGCUAGGGGGGCGGAGAAUUGGGAAGCCGGUCGAAAUCCGGCGCUGCCCCCGCAACGGUGGUGGAGUAAGGCAUGGCGAAUGAAGCCACUGGGCUUAAGACAGCCUGGGAAGGUGCCAUGGGGUCCUUUGGGGGACCGCUCCAGAGCCCGGAAACCAGCCUUGGGGAGACUGAUUUA
This 204-nucleotide non-coding RNA is filed under the name Agrobacterium radiobacter. The record is from RNAcentral. Lineage: Bacteria; Pseudomonadati; Pseudomonadota; Alphaproteobacteria; Hyphomicrobiales; Rhizobiaceae.